GGCAGCACGGGAGCAAUCCUGGUGGCGAGUGGCGAACGGGUGAGUAAUAUAUCGGAACGUGCCCAGUCGUGGGGGAUAACGUAGCGAAAGUUACGCUAAUACCGCAUACGAUCUACGGAUGAAAGCGGGGGAUCGCAAGACCUCGCGCGAUUGGAGCGGCCGAUAUCAGAUUAGCUUGUUGGUGGGGUAAAAGCCCACCAAGGCGACGAUCUGUAGCUGGUCUGAGAGGACGACCAGCCACACUGGGACUGAGACACGGCCCAGACUCCUACGGGAGGCAGCAGUGGGGAAUUUUGGACAAUGGGCGCAAGCCUGAUCCAGCAAUGCCGCGUGCAGGAUGAAGGCCUUCGGGUUGUAAACUGCUUUUGUACGGAACGAAACGGUCCUUUCUAAUACAAGGGGCUAAUGACGGUACCGUAAGAAUAAGCACCGGCUAACUACGUGCCAGCAGCCGCGGUAAUACGUAGGGUGCGAGCGUUAAUCGGAAUUACUGGGCGUAAAGCGUGCGCAGGCGGUUUUGUAAGACAGAUGUGAAAUCCCCGGGCUUAACCUGGGACCUGCAUUUGUGACUGCAAGGCUGGAGUACGGUAGAGGGGGAUGGAAUUCCGCGUGUAGCAGUGAAAUGCGUAGAUAUGCGGAGGAACACCGAU
Molecule: ribosomal RNA, 650 nt
Filed under: uncultured bacterium
Lineage: Bacteria
Description: bacterial SSU rRNA
Rfam family: Bacterial small subunit ribosomal RNA
Source: RNAcentral